CCUCCCCAAACCACUGGAGUCAAAGAAGUCUUCUGUGAGGAAGAGAUCCAAGAAGUUCAGUGUACCUCAAGCAAGAGGAAUAUAAAGAAAAACAUACCUAAUCACUUCAAAAUCAAAGAAGAUGAGAACCCACAACUUAAACAGGAGCAGGGGAGGAAGGGAGGAGGUGUCCCCUCUGAUCCCAUAAGGAGCAUUUCGAGCACACUUACCGACAGCUCAGAUUCUUGCAUUAAUGUGCCUUCACAAAUAAUCUCACUGAACAUCAAGCUGGGAAAUGAACACUGGCAGAGUCCUGGUAAAUUCUCUUAAACUGGCCCCCGGCGGGAGCAAAACAU
RNAcentral lists this long non-coding RNA (335 nucleotides) under Mustela putorius furo (domestic ferret). Its description in RNAcentral is "lncRNA (ENSMPUG00000028409.1)". The record is from RNAcentral. Lineage: Eukaryota; Metazoa; Chordata; Mammalia; Carnivora; Mustelidae.